GACGAACGCUGGCGGCGUGCUUAACACAUGCAAGUCGAACGGAAAGGCCCUGCUUUUGUGGGGUGCUCGAGUGGCGAACGGGUGAGUAACACGUGAGUAACCUGCCCUUGACUUUGGGAUAACUUCAGGAAACUGGGGCUAAUACCGGAUAGGAGCUCCUGCUGCAUGGUGGGGGUUGGAGAGUUUCGGCGGUUGGGGAUGGACUCGCGGCUUAUCAGCUUGUUGGUGGGGUAGUGGCUUACCAAGGCUUUGACGGGUAGCCGGCCUGAGAGGGUGACCGGCGACAUUGCGACUGAGGUACGGCCCAGACUCCUACGGGAGGCAGCAGUGGGGAAUAUUGCACAAUGGGCGGAAGCCUGAUGCAGCAACGCCGCGUGCGGGAUGACGGCCUUCGGGUUGUAAACCGCUUUCGCAUGUGACGAAGAGUGAGUGACGGUAAUGGGUAAAGAAGCACCGGCUAACUACGUG
Molecule: ribosomal RNA, 468 nt
Filed under: uncultured bacterium
Lineage: Bacteria
Description: partial 16S ribosomal RNA
Rfam family: Bacterial small subunit ribosomal RNA
Source: RNAcentral